GAGGGGGGUAGAAUUCCAGGUGUAGCGGUGAAAUGCGUAGAGAUCUGGAGGAAUACCGGUGGCGAAGGCGGCCCCCUGGACAAAGACUGACGCUCAGGUGCGAAAGCGUGGGGAGCAAACAGGAUUAGAUACCCUGGUAGUCCACGCCGUAAACGAUGUCGACUUGGAGGUUGUGCCCUUGAGGCGUGGCUUCCGGAGCUAACGCGUUAAGUCGACCGCCUGGGGAGUACGGCCGCAAGGUUAAAACUCAAAUGAAUUGACGGGGGCCCGCACAAGCGGUGGAGCAUGUGGUUUAAUUCGAUGCAGCGCGAAGAACCUUACCUACUCUUGACAUCCAGAGAACUUUCCAGAGAUGGAUUGGUGCCUUCGGGAACUCUGAGACAGGUGCUGCAUGGCUGUCGUCAGCUCGUGUUGUGAAAUGUUGGGUUAAGUCCCGCAACGAGCGCAACCCUUAUCCUUUGUUGCCAGCGGUCCGGCCGGGAACUCAAAGGAGACUGCCAGUGAUAAACUGGAGGAAGGUGGGGAUGACGUCAAGUCAUCAUGGCCCUCACGAGUAGGGCUACACACGUGCUACAAUGGCGCAUACAAAGAGAAGCGACCUCGCGAGAGCAAGCGGACCUCAUAAAGUGCGUCGUAGUCCGGAUUGGAGUCUGCAACUCGACUCCAUGAAGUCGGAAUCGCUAGUAAUCGUAGAUCAGAAUGCUACGGUGAAUACGUUCCCGGGCCUUGUACACAC
RNAcentral lists this ribosomal RNA (736 nucleotides) under uncultured bacterium. RNAcentral describes it as "bacterial SSU rRNA". It matches the Rfam family "Bacterial small subunit ribosomal RNA", at positions 654 to 1390 of the family's 1533-position model. The record is from RNAcentral.